UGGGGGGUGUACUCAUGAACACGCAAAGGUCUACUGGAUGCUGUGCUUCCACCGGACCACACUGUGGUAGAUGUCUUCCACUUGCCCCUCCAGACCACCUCCCCACCCUCCGGCCAUGCCCAGUGUCCUGCAAUGCUGACCUUUGUGAAUGGGCUCAUCCAAGGCUACUUUGCCCUGGCUUCUGGUCAGGUUCAGCCAAUGGAAGGCACUGGGAGCAGGAAGUUAUUGCUUCCUCGAACUUGCAGUGAGUUGUCUAAUUCUCCUAACAAAGGCUGCAGCUCUGACCAGGUGGCCGUAUUCUAACCACUUCAGCACUUGUGCCUUCAGGUCUAGGAGAGAUGAAGCCUGCUCACCCUGGGAUUCCUCACCACUUAUCUGUAGUUUGGCUGGGAAAGCUCUGCUUGAAGCCACAAACCUCCCUGGCGCGGAUUAAGCCUUCAAAUUGGCUUACAUCCACCUUCCUCAUUUUCCUUGGACUAGCCCUGCCAGGGCACGUUCCUUUCAUGGCAAGUGGCAGGAGCCCAGGAAGUUGAGCAGAGACCCUUGAUGCCUCCUGAGGCCUCGACAGAAAAGUUGAUUUUCACCAACUCCCAGGAAAUGGCCAUCUCUUUUCUGAGACCAUCCCAUGUUCACUGUCCACAACCCACAGCCUGUCUGCCUACCCCAGCUGUGGGCUCUGCUGUUGAUCCCCACGGGCCUGAC
This is a long non-coding RNA of Bos taurus (domestic cattle), 702 nucleotides long. The record is from Ensembl. NCBI's taxonomy places the organism in Eukaryota, Metazoa, Chordata, Mammalia, Artiodactyla, Bovidae.